GUGGGGAAUAUUGCACAAUGGGGGAAACCCUGAUGCAGCGACGCCGCGUGAGUGAAGAAGUAUUUCGGUACGUAAAGCUCUAUCAGCAAGGAAGAAAAUGACGGUACUUGACUAAGAAGCCCCGGCUAACUACGUGCCAGCAGCCGCGGUAAUACGUAGGGGGCAAGCGUUAUCCGGAUUUACUGGGUGUAAAGGGAGCGUAGACGGUAUGGUAAGUCAGAUGUGAAAGCCCGAGGCUCAACCCCGGGACUGCAUUUGAAACUAUCAGACUAGAGUGCAGGAGAGGUAAGUGGAAUUCCUAGUGUAGCGGUGAAAUGCGUAGAUAUUAGGAGGAACACCAGUGGCGAAGGCGGCUUACUGGACUGUAACUGACGUUGAGGCUCGAAAGCGUGGGGAGCAAACAGGAUUAGAAACCCGGGUAGUCC
Molecule: ribosomal RNA, 425 nt
Filed under: uncultured bacterium
Lineage: Bacteria
Description: partial 16S ribosomal RNA
Rfam family: Bacterial small subunit ribosomal RNA
Source: RNAcentral